CAGAACUUAAUUUGAGGCAUAAAAAGGAUGGCAAUGGAAGCACCUCUGAUGAUUAUGCUGAUUGCUUCCAUGAUAUCACCUCUCAUCGGAUCAUGCCCGGAAAAUACCGCUGCAGUGUUCUGCAAUGGAGCUGACUUCGCCCCGCAAGUUUAUUGCAAUGAUGUCGAUCCUAAUAACUAUCAGUGCACAAAGAAGCAUAAUGUAUGGUGUGGGUGCAGUGCUGGGUUCGCCCGUGCAAAGAACGACGCAUGUGUGCCUAUAUCACAGUGCGACAUUAGAAAUGAUGUUCGAAUAAUAUAUCCACUCGCAAUAAAACCUGAAUCAGAAGGGAAUCAGAAAGACCAAGAUGAGCAAGGAACAAAUAGUGAGCUCAGCGAACUUGGUAAAAAAGUUUU
Molecule: long non-coding RNA, 395 nt
Organism: Dermacentor silvarum
Lineage: Eukaryota; Metazoa; Arthropoda; Arachnida; Ixodida; Ixodidae
Exons: 3
Source: RefSeq, a predicted model, not a curated record